RNAcentral lists this ribosomal RNA (475 nucleotides) under uncultured organism. Its description in RNAcentral is "partial 16S ribosomal RNA". It matches the Rfam family "Bacterial small subunit ribosomal RNA", at positions 333 to 799 of the family's 1533-position model. The record is from RNAcentral.
ACACUCCUACGGGAGGCAGCAGUGGGGAAUUUUGGACAAUGGGCGAAAGCCUGAUCCAGCAAUGCCGCGUGAGUGAAGAAGGCCUUCGGGUUGUAAAGCUCUUUUGUCAGGGAAGAAACGGUGAGAGCUAAUAUCUCUUGCUAAUGACGGUACCUGAAGAAUAAGCACCGGCUAACUACGUGCCAGCAGCCGCGGUAAUACGUAGGGUGCAAGCGUUAAUCGGAAUUACUGGGCGUAAAGCGUGCGCAGGCGGUUUUGUAAGUCUGAUGUGAAAUCCCCGGGCUCAACCUGGGAAUUGCAUUGGAGACUGCAAGGCUAGAAUCUGGCAGAGGGGGGUAGAAUUCCACGUGUAGCAGUGAAAUGCGUAGAUAUGUGGAGGAACACCGAUGGCGAAGGCAGCCCCCUGGGUCAAGAUUGACACUCAUGCACGAAAGCGUGGGGAGCAAACAGGAUUAGAAACCCGUGUAGUCCCAUG